GAUGAACGCUGGCGGCGUGCCUAAUACAUGCGAGUCGAGCGAACGGACGAGAAGCUUGCUUCUCUGAUGUUAGCGGCGGACGGGUGAGUAAAACGUGGAUAACCUACCUAUAAGACUGGGAUAACUUCGGGAAACCGGAGCUAAUACCGGCUAAUAUUUUGAACCGCAUGGUUCAAAAGUGAAAGACGGUCUUGCUGUCACUUAUAGCUGGAUCCGCGCUGCAUUAGCUAGUUGGUAAGGUAACGGCUUACCAAGGCAACGAUGCAUAGCCGACCUGAGCGGGUGAUCGAGCACCCUGGAACUGAGACACGGUCCAGACUCCGACGGGAGGCAGCAGUAGGGAAUCUUCCGCGAUGGGCGAAAGCCGAACGGAGCAACGCCGCGUGAGUGAUGAAGGUCUUCGGAUCGUAAAACUCUGUUAUUAGGGAAGAACAUAUGUGUAAGUAACUGUGCACAUCUUGACGGUACCUAAUCAGAAAGCCACGGCUAACUACGUG
Molecule: ribosomal RNA, 497 nt
Filed under: uncultured bacterium
Lineage: Bacteria
Description: partial 16S ribosomal RNA
Rfam family: Bacterial small subunit ribosomal RNA
Source: RNAcentral